UGGGUGGCGAAGGGCUCCCCCAGGAUCAUCACUGCCUCCACGUGGGCGUCGGAGAAUGCCUGGGGGUCGGGUGGCGGGGGGGACAGCAAAGGCAGCCAGUGUGGACAUAGAGCUCUCUGUAUAACCCAGAAGCAACAUGUAGCCUCCACUCCCUCCAGUCUCCACCAUCAACACAAGCCCGGACUCCCCCAAGAGUGAGCAGCUUCCGCUCCUUCUAGAACCUGGACUAGACAAGCAGCUCCCUAUUCCCUGAUGUCUCCCCACCUUGGUUUCAAAGCCUGUGAGGAAUUUGAGGUCCCUGGACUUCUGUAGGACACGGUCUCUGUCUCCGUCAGCUGCAGCCUUCACCACCUGGGGAGACGGGUGGGAGUUAGAGGGACAAAGGCCGGGGCUCAAGGGGCCUCUGAAGAAGAGGAGCUGGAAGCCUGGGCCUCCCGUGUACCCACCUCCAUUCUCAUCUGCCUGGGCCCUCCGUCACCUGGAAGCUUCCUGCUCCCCACUCUGCCGGUCUGUGACUCCCUUAAAGACUAUUCCAGAGCCUGGAGUGGAGGUGGGCAGGGAUCCUGCCCGCCUAGCUGGCAAUGUGGGGCCUGCCCGGGAACUGCCACAGUGAAACAGUGCAAGGAACACGUGUCAGGGCUGCUGGUGGGUCCAAACACUCAACUGGACAGGUGUGGGCGUGACCCAGAACUGCAUCCAAAGUUGCCAGGGGCUACCUCUCUGUCUCCCGCACUGGACUUUAAGCCCUGUGAGAGCAAGGAUCCCAGUUGGGUGUAGUCGCGUGGGGCACAGGGUCUGGUGCUCAGGAGGCCCUGGGUGAACCUUGCUUUAGCAAAUGAGUGUGUGGAGCAGAGCAGCUCUCCAGCCAUAAGCUCAUACAUACAGGGCAGGAGUUGUGGGCAUGGACAGACACCCAGCUGGGGCCAGCUGGCUAGGGCUCCAUCCCAGCUCUGCCACCUGCCGGCCUGUUGGGCCUCCACUUUCUCAUCUGUGAAGUGGGGAUGCUAAAAGUGUCUUCCUCAUGGGGCUGUUGGGAGGAUAAAGAAGGUGAUGCCUGUGGAAUGCCUGGCGCUGUGUCUCAUGCAGGAAGCACCGAAAAUAUCAUAAUCUACCAUUAUUAAGAGGUGGGCACGGGGGUCCCAAUUUCACAGAAGGGGAAGCAGACCCGGAGUAGGGACUGGAACCUGGGUCACACCCCUCACCACUGGGUUGCCCGUUUUUGUAAGGAGAGGGGUUCGGGAUUAAUUCCAUUCCCUCUCUGCUCCCCCUGCCCAAGCCUGUCUGGCCAUCUGUCAGGCCUGUGGUCCUCAGAAGCCGGUGUGAUGGGGCUUUUAUAAACUGGCAAAGGCUGAGGCCUGGGUAGGAGGGGAGGGUGUCAGUGGGGAGCAAAAUGUCCCAGCUACCCGAAGGGCCUUGGCUUUGUGCCUCAGUGGCCCGCGGAGAGGGCCCCAAUGGGCCCGUGUGUAAGGGGUUAUCACCUCCUCUUCCUGUUCCCAUCUCAGAGGUGGCCCCCCCAGUCCCCAGGCCAAAUCCCUGGACACCUCCAUCGCUGACUUCCAGCCUGUCUGCUCCCAUGGAUUACCAGCUGGGCAUCUCCCAGCCACCCCUCUGCCCCUCUCCACAGCUGCCCCGGGCUCCCAGCCCCCAGGUUUAGAGACCACUUCUUAUUCAGAGGGAGUUUUCAAAUUCUAACUGCAUCCUUUCCCUGCUCAAAUCUUUUUCCACGGCUCUGCAGGGCACCUGGAUACAGUACGAGCUGCAGAGCGCGGCCUCCAAAAUCCACAGUGAUUUGCUGCACCCUCGUCACUGGCUCCUGUGCUGCUCCCCCACCUGCCCUCCCAGUCAGAAUGGGAGCUUCCUUUGGGUCCUCUAGGGCCUUACUACUACAAGUGUGGUCCCCAUACGGGUAGCCUUGGCAUCACGUGGGCGCGUGUCAGAACACAGCGUCUUACACCCACCUCCAGACCAGAAUCUUCACCUGCACAGGAUCGCCAGGCUUCACAGGCACAUCCAAGUCUGAGAAGUGCUGCUCUAAUGGGAAUAUCCCUUAUCACCGCCUGGCCUUGGCACAUGUUGUCUAUCUGGAAUACCCUCCGAGCCUUUUCCCAAUUGGGCCACCUCAUCCCUUAGGUCUCAACGCUGACAAUCCCUCCUCCAGGAAGCCCUCCCUGGCUCCCCAGGCUGGGUCAGGCUCCUCCUCUGGGUUCACAGUCCCCUGUGCUUCCCCCAUCCCAGCCUUAUCCAUGCUGGGUCCUCACUGUCCCCUCUCUGGACCAUGAGUUCUGUGAGGAGGGGCCUAGGCUGGUCCCAGGUCACUGCUGUGUCUCCAGCUUUGCCUAGAACACAGCUGGGCACAGAGAGGGGUCAGAAAACAUUUAGAUUGGCUGGGCAGGGGGGCUCAUGCCUGUAAUCCCAGCACUGUGGGAGGCCAAGGCAGGAGGAUCACCUGAGGUCAGGAGUUCGAGACCAGCCUGGGCAACAUGGUGAAACCCCAUCUCUACUAAAAAUACAAAAAUUAGCCGGGCAUGGUGGUAUGCGCCUGUAAUCCCAGCUACUCGAGAAGCUGAGGCAGGAGAAUCGCUUGAACACAGGAGGUGGAGGUUGUGGUGAGCUAAGAUCGCGCCACUGUACUCCAGCCUGGGCGACAGAGCAAGACUCUGUCUCAAUUAAGAAAAGAAAAGAAAAGAAAAGAAAACAUUUAGAUUGAUGGCUACAUGAUUAGAGGACCCAGGGCAAAUGUCUAAUCUCAACAAUUAAGGAAAUGGUGUUCUCUGCAGCCUCCAAGACAAACUGACCCCAGUGGGUGGGAGAGACGAGCAAAGUACGUGAGGAAGCGCCUCCUGUAGACAGUUGGCCCCAGGGACACACACCUGGGCUGGACACCAGGGCCCUGGACAGCGUGGGGUCUGGAGAGGUGACAAGAUGGUCACUGUGGGCCUUCCUCUUAGGAGGGAGCUGGGCAGUGGUUGGAAGCUUGGACUCUGGACCUGGACUACCUGAAUUUGAAUCCCAAGUCUGCUGUGAUCUUGGGGAGGUGACUUAAUCUCUCUAGGACCUAGUUACUUCAUCUGUAAAAUGGGCCUAAAAAUGGUCCUUACCGCAUUGCGUUGCUGUGUGGUUUAAAUCCGUUACUAUACGUAAGUACUAAAGAUGGAGCCUGACAUAU
Molecule: non-coding RNA, 3166 nt
Organism: Macaca mulatta (Rhesus monkey)
Lineage: Eukaryota; Metazoa; Chordata; Mammalia; Primates; Cercopithecidae
Source: RefSeq, a predicted model, not a curated record